RNAcentral lists this ribosomal RNA (414 nucleotides) under uncultured bacterium. RNAcentral's name for it is "bacterial SSU rRNA". It matches the Rfam family "Bacterial small subunit ribosomal RNA", at positions 8 to 421 of the family's 1533-position model. The record is from RNAcentral.
AGAGUUUGAUCCUGGCUCAGAAUGAACGCUGGCGGCGUGCCUAACACAUGCAAGUCGGAUGUGCCCGCAAGGGUGCAUGGCAGACGGGUGAGUAACGCGUGGGGAAUCUACCUCUUUGUGGGGAAUAACGCUCCGAAAGGAGUGGUAAUACCGCAUGAGAUCCAUGGCUGGAAUGUUGUGGAUGAAACCUGGGGACCUUCGGGCCUGGGGCAAGGAGAGGAUCCUGCGUCUGAUUAGCUAGUUGGUGAGGUAACGGCCCACCAAGGCAACGAUCAGUAGCCGGCCUGAGAGGGUGAUCGGCCACACUGGAACUGAGACACGGUCCAGACUCCUACGGGAGGCAGCAGUGGGGAAUUUUGCGCAAUGGGCGAAAGCCUGACGCAGCAACGCCGCGUGGGUGAUGAAGGUCUUCGG